Molecule: non-coding RNA, 453 nt
Organism: Callorhinus ursinus (northern fur seal)
Lineage: Eukaryota; Metazoa; Chordata; Mammalia; Carnivora; Otariidae
Source: RefSeq, a predicted model, not a curated record
AUGCCCUCAGAGGGGAAGCGAGGAGGCGGGGCCGGAGGCCUGGCGAAUGUACGCUUCCAAGGCCACCCUCGAGAGGUGAAGCCACUCCCACUGGUUGCCUGGAGGCGCCCACAUCUUUUGCCAGGAGGGGCCACACAAAAGGAAGGGAGUUUGUUCAGGAACAUUGUAAAGAACUCUGUGUGCCCCAGGGGUCCUCCUUCAUCACAGCCGGGGAGUAUGACGCCACAAUUUAACAUGCAGAAGCUGGUAAUCUAGGACCUACGUGUGAACAACUUUAUAUGAAUAUUUUUUGUACUUGGUUUACUUGGGUUGGUAUGAUACAUUAUAUUUAAGUUCCUUGAACACUGUGGAUCCCCCUAAUGUGUAUGAAUGACUGAGGCUUUGUAAAUUAAGGGACGUUUGUGUGAAUAAAGUUAUUUGAUGGGGUCAAAGAAGCCAUACGUGAUUUGAAAA